AGCUCCAAUAGCGUAUAUUAAAGUUGUUGCAGUUAAAAAGCUCGUAGUUGAAUUUCGGAGGAGAGUGUCUGGUCUUGGCUUUGCCUUGUACUAGACGACUCGAAUCUUUUUUCUGGGGAAGCAAGGUGUCCUUCACUGGGCGCUUUGGGGAACCAGGACGAUUACCUUGAGAAAAAUAGAGUGUUCAAAGCAGGCUUUUGCUUGAAUACGUUAGCAUGGAAUAAUAAAAUAGGACUUUGGUUCUAUUUUGUUGGUUUUAAGGACCAAUGUCAUGAUGAAUAGGGACAGUUGGGGGCAUUCGUAUUCCAAAGCUAGAGGUGAAAUUCUUGGAUUUUUGGAAGACGAACUACUGCGAAAGCAUUUGCCAAGGAUGUUUUCA
Molecule: ribosomal RNA, 379 nt
Filed under: uncultured eukaryote
Lineage: Eukaryota
Description: SSU rRNA
Rfam family: Eukaryotic small subunit ribosomal RNA
Source: RNAcentral